CCUGGAACUCACUCUGAAGGCUGGCCUUGAACUCACAGAGAUCUGCCUGCCUCUGCCUCCUGUGGGCUGAGAU
This 73-nucleotide microRNA precursor is filed under the name Mus pahari (shrew mouse). Its description in RNAcentral is "miRNA (MGP_PahariEiJ_G0007283.1)". Lineage: Eukaryota; Metazoa; Chordata; Mammalia; Rodentia; Muridae. The record is from RNAcentral.